Molecule: ribosomal RNA, 643 nt
Filed under: uncultured bacterium
Lineage: Bacteria
Also listed under: 1 other name
Description: bacterial SSU rRNA
Rfam family: Bacterial small subunit ribosomal RNA
Source: RNAcentral
CGCGGCCUAUCAGCUUGUUGGUGAGGUUAUGGCUUACCAAGGCGACGACGGGUAGCCGGCCUGAGAGGGUGUCCGGCCACACUGGGACUGAGAUACGGCCCAGACUCCUACGGGAGGCAGCAGUGGGGAAUAUUGCACAAUGGGCGCAAGCCUGAUGCAGCGACGCCGCGUGAGGGAUGACGGCCUUCGGGUUGUAAACCUCUUUCAGUACAGACGAAGCGUAAGUGACGGUAUGUACAGAAGAAGCACCGGCCAACUACGUGCCAGCAGCCGCGGUAAUACGUAGGGUGCGAGCGUUGUCCGGAAUUACUGGGCGUAAAGAGCUCGUAGGUGGUUUGUCGCGUUGUUCGUGAAAACCUGAGGCUUAACCUUGGGCGUGCGGGCGAUACGGGCAGACUGGAGUACUGCAGGGGAGACUGGAAUUCCUGGUGUAGCGGUGGAAUGCGCAGAUAUCAGGAGGAACACCGGUGGCGAAGGCGGGUCUCUGGGCAGUAACUGACGCUGAGGAGCGAAAGCGUGGGGAGCGAACAGGAUUAGAUACCCUGGUAGUCCACGCCGUAAACGGUGGGUACUAGGUGUGGGUUUCCUUCCUUGGGAUCCGUGCCGUAGCUAACGCAUUAAGUACCCCGCCUGGGGAGUACGG